GGUGUAAUAAUAGAGAUGAGACACUGAACAUACUUAACUGGACUAGUUGAAUUACAUUUAUUUACGUAUUUUUUUCUUAGCUGAAAAUACUCCUUGAUCAAGUUGAAGAAGCAGUGGCAGAUUUUGAUGAAUGUAUUAGGUUAAGACCUGAGUCUGCUCUGGCACAAGCACAGAAAUGUUUUGCAUUGUACCGCCAGGCAUAUACGGGAAACAACUCUUCACAAAUCCAAGCAGCUAUGAAAGGUUUUGAAGAGGUCAUAAAGAAAUUUCCAAGGUGUGCCGAAGGCUAUGCACUAUACGCCCAGGUAAAUGUUUUUUCAGGUUUUUUAAAAAUAACUGCAUACAUAUGCCAAAUCUCAGUAUGGAAAUCAGAAAACAGUGCUAUCAUGGUUGCAGCUUCUUUGGAAGCAGGUGGCUUUGUUCCUGAUUGAUUCUCAUGGCCCCUGGUUGGUCCCGAAUCACCUCAGAAGAGGCUCCUUUGUUACACAAUUUGGAAAUCAUGGCCCUAAACUCAAUAUGGGGAAGCUUAAGGCGAGAAUUUCCCUCCUGUCUUCAUUUGGAUUGGUUUUGCAAAAAGUAAUUACCUUAGGAAAAUUUACCGUAUGCAAUUGGUGGAGAAAAUAUCCACGGAAAGGCUUUUCUUUCUAUCUGGUCACUGCCUUUUUAUAUGGCUAGGUUGUUGUAACGGUUUAUUUUAAUUUAUCUUUGCUUUAUCUAAAAUUCCUGAAACUCUCUUGGUUUAGGAUUGAAGCUAUGGAAAGCAGGAUUUAAAUCUGAAUUUUUUUAUUGUAGUCUGAAAUUCUUGAAAACUUCUUAGUUUUAAAUCAUCCAUUUAAAUGAAAAUGAUUAGCUUCUUGUAGUGACGGUCAUACAUUUUCCCCUCAAAUAAAAGAUCUCUGAAUGAC
RNAcentral lists this long non-coding RNA (905 nucleotides) under Homo sapiens (human). RNAcentral describes it as "non-protein coding lnc-FILIP1L-7:1". The record is from RNAcentral. Lineage: Eukaryota; Metazoa; Chordata; Mammalia; Primates; Hominidae.